GCUUGAUUAAUGAUUCAUUAAUUACUCCAUGACAAGAACAUCUUGCAUGGUUUUAUAUGCUAACAUAACGUCACUUUAUAUACACAUACCUACAUAUUAACUAAGCAACUAAUCAUCAACUUAAGUAUUAAAGUAACACAUCUAUUCAAUAUAGGUAUCAUGGUGGACCUCCUUGAUGAUUGCGAUUAUUAUGGCAAGAAGAAGAAGCCAAAGCAAGAAUAGAGCUUGCGAGUUGAUUAAUGGCGUCUACCAAACCAUUCAUACCUUGUCUAUUUAUUUCAGUUUUUGAUUCCUCAAUCUUUAGUCUCCUCUCUUGUAGCCUCACCACUUCCUUAUGCCUCCUCUCUUGUCCCUCCUCAUUCUCUCUUAUCACUUGUGUGAUCACAGACGUGCAUCUAGACAACGCCACCCCAACCGCAUCCUCCUCUACCUCCCUCUCUCCUCCAGCGGUGGUUUCUCCCGGCGUUGUUCUCCUUCGCUUUGUCGAUGAUGUACCUGAAUGUACACACUCUUAUCAGUCUCUUCAUCGACCAAAAUGCGGGUUUAAUUACUACUUUAAUCUUAAUGUACUCAAGAACUUUAUUGUAAAGAAUUGUCUAUGCACACACAAGCAAAUUUAGGGUUACAUUUUUUCCUUCAUAGUAAUUGUAUAAGUUUUGAUUUUAAAUUUAUAAUUAGAUUGAUUAUAAUUAAUAACAAGUUGACUUGAGGGUGUUUGUUGGAAUGUCGAAAUCCACUUUAUAGAUUUAAUAUAAAAUCUAACUUUAGUGGUCAUUUAAUUAGGCUUUAAGAAUAAGAAGAGAGAUAAAACGGAAGGUACCUACUGUGGGCGGUAUAGGCUCAGCGUGAAAUGAAGACGAUGGUGGAGGUUGAGGCGGCGAAGGAAGUGAUAAGCUAAGAGACUGUGGCGGUGGUGGCGGAAGAGAUAACACUAUAGUAGUCGGGAUUUGAUGCAUCGGCUGAGCCAUCAUCGGAGCUACAAAUCCUAAACUUUGUUGGCAAACUCUUAGGAUCUGGCCACCGUUACCGUUUCCUACGGCGGCGGCGGCGGAGGAGGAGGAAGGAAGAGUUUUUCUGUCAACAAGCUCAGACAACACGUCGUAUAUCUGAGGCAACAUGUUACUCGGCAAGUUCUUCUCUUUCCUCUCAGUCUUGUCCAUCUUCCAGUAAGAGGAAGAAGUGACGGUGUUAAAAGACGAUUCUACCCUUGAUCUCUCGUACUCUCUGAUCUUCUUGUAAUCCCUCAUGAGAUUGUCCCACUUAUCGUUGCACUGAUUCUGGUUGCGGUAACAUCCUCUUCUCCAGCAAUACUCCUCUAUCCAUUUCCACCGGAGCUCUGCUGGUUUGUUUCUGCCUUCAGGUUGUUUUUCCGAUCGCCGUACACGCCUCUGGUCGUCCAUCUUCUUGGCUUCUAUGAGAACCAAAGUCUCACUCACUGUCCAAUUCCCUUUUCUGCACUCUCUCAUAACUAUCUGUUCACCACUCGAUGGAUCAGCGUCAGCCAUAUAUGUGUCUCUUUGGAUUUACCAAGAGGUAGCCAUACGUGUGUCUUUGAAUCUUGAAUUCAUGAACUAGAGAGAGAAAGAAAUAAGUGUUGGAGAAAGGGGAGAAGAAAGAGAUGAGCCAAAGACCGGUCAAAGUCUUUUGUUUUCUAGUACUAAGAUUGUCACCAAGUUCGAAAAGACAGUGAUUCCAAUAAUGAGAAAAUAUGAAAAACAAAGCAAGUUUUUUUAUUCUAUGUUUCCUACUAAAUUAAAUAAUUG
This is a long non-coding RNA of Arabidopsis thaliana (thale cress), 1763 nucleotides long. RefSeq annotates it as other RNA. Lineage: Eukaryota; Viridiplantae; Streptophyta; Magnoliopsida; Brassicales; Brassicaceae. The transcript has a single exon. The record is from RefSeq.